RNAcentral lists this transfer RNA (72 nucleotides) under Compostibacillus humi. It matches the Rfam family "tRNA". From Rfam's summary of the family: Transfer RNA (tRNA) molecules are approximately 80 nucleotides in length. The record is from Rfam by way of RNAcentral. Lineage: Bacteria; Bacillati; Bacillota; Bacilli; Caryophanales; Bacillaceae.
GCGGAAGUAGUUCAGGGGUAGAACACCACCUUGCCAAGGUGGGGGUCGCGGGUUCGAAUCCCGUCUUCCGCU